This 2231-nucleotide long non-coding RNA is filed under the name Gallus gallus (chicken). Its description in RNAcentral is "lncRNA (ENSGALG00010027549.1)". Lineage: Eukaryota; Metazoa; Chordata; Aves; Galliformes; Phasianidae. The record is from RNAcentral.
CUUUUUUGAACCACAGCAGCACUGUGAUUGGAAUUUCUACUUUGGAGAUGUUUUUAGUGAUAGUCUACCACACUUUGGUCAUUCUGCAAUCCUCUGCAAGUCCAACCUCAAGACGAAAUGUGCUGAUUAAAAGAUACGCUGCAGGUACUGGAGGAACACAAUGAAAAGGCAGAGUGCAGUGAAUGAAUCUUGUCUCUCAGCAGUGCUAUUUGAAGAACUUCUUGAAGCCAGUGGUGGAGCAUAACUGGGCUACUUGAAAGGAACUACCACUAAGAUGCAGGUUUUUGGGACACCCAGGAAAGAAAAAAUGAAAGUGAAUAAUAGGAAAAAUAAAAAAUAAAAAGUCAGACUUGGAGAUUUCUGCUCUUUCCACUGAACUUCUCUUUGCAUGAGUCAGAGGAAGGUGUGAAAUUAUAAGAAGAUCACCCUGUGAAGAUCUAUGAAAAUCUAGUCAGAUAAUCAACUGAGACUGAAGAAUGAUUCUUCUCAACCUGAAGUGCACAUCUAAAAUAGAUCAGACAGUCAAACCUCAGAAUUGCUGGCUGUUAAGUGAGGUCAGCACGACUAGCUUUGUAGCAGAAGUUCACUACAGAUGUCUAAAGCCAGAUGAGAAGUAUCACCUCAUUAAUCAAUUCAAGCACAGUAUGAAUGUAGUAAAGGACCAGCACACCAGCAAAGGCAGCUAUACAAAAGCUCUUCUGUGUGUUGAUAGGCAGUAGAGGUGCCAGUGAUAAAUUGGGCUGCACGUGGAACAAGAUUAAAAGUAUUAAGUUGGAGUGCAUUGCCUUGUACAUGAAUUUACUGAGUAGCUUCAAAGGGAAUGUAUGUUCAGUUAUGAUGGUUUGAGGGGAAAAAAAUUUUGUCAUUUUGUAUUGUCACAAAGGAAGACAUUCUACGUAAGUGCUAGAAGAUAAGGGAAAUCAUGGAAAACCUGAAGGAUUCAGAAAGACUUGGAUUGUUAGCAUUUGGAAGGAGACAAAGAAAUAUAGCAAUAAAAGCUGGGUUCACUGUGGUUGUAUGCUUGUUUUGUCACAGAUGUUCAGGGCACAAACUACCCUAACAAUGGCAUCCCUAAACUUGGUGUCCAGAUCUGAGAUAGUCACCUUGGGCUGCAAUAGAAGGGAAAAUGAUUAUUCUAUACUUACCAUUAGCAAGUGAUAUUCUUCCAUGUCUUGGAAAGCAGGGUCUCAAUGGACAUAGCAGCCAUUUGGGAGGACAGACAAGUUGAAAAGUGGUACAGGGGGUCUGCUUCUCCUCUCACUGUAGAAAUGAGCUAUGGACCUCACUGUUGCAUCAAUUGACUGACACUGCUCCAAGAUGAGUAAGAUUCAAAGAGAAACAGUGAUUACAUGGCUGAAAAGAAUAUCCAGAUAUAGCACAAAAGAUAAAAUUACACAGGAAGGCUAUAAAAUCUUCAGAUUUGAAAAGAUCAAGAUAUCCUUUAUUUUUUGUUGCUCAGAAGAGAUAAUCUGGGUUACAGACUGUAACGUCUGCUUAUUACAAACCAUUUUACACUUUUCGCCAGUCAAUGUUCUUUCUCAGGAAAGAAGUCCCUAGGCUAUUUCUCUGAUCCUAUAUGGACAUUUUUAUGUUGCUAGAGAAGAUGGAAGUCUCCAUUUGUGUUUAACAUGGGAUUUCCUCUUCUAGAUGGAAAUCAUCCAGUCUCAUUGAUUAAGUGCAAUUUCCACACACUUCAGUACAGCUCUGCAGGAUUUAAUGACUGCACCCAGCUGAGCAAUAUUCUCUGGAUUUGAUUCACUAUACAUAUUAAUUUUAGAGCCUGUCUCAAAUAACCUUCAUUGAUUUCUUCAUCAUAUAUACAAGUCUAACCUUGUUUGACUGGUUGCUUGAAAUGCAGUGCCAUUAUUCAGUGGAACAGGAAUUAAGACAGGCUGAUGUGGCUGAACAGAAUUAACGGUUUAAAAAAGUUGUCUGUCUGUGCUGAUGCAUUUGAGAAGAAAAGUGAUGGGGAUUCUGAGCACAGCGAGACCUGCAAGGUGCUUUGUAAAGCAAGUUACUUUCAAGAGAGAAAAAAAAAAACCAAAAACUGUCUGAAUGGUACAUUAGGCAUGAUCUGAUAAUAACCCCAAAAAUGUCUAGAAUGGAUACAAAUUGCAAAUCCACAGCUGUGACAAUGCAACUAUGGAUUUCUGGCCUCAUAGAUUUAGAGGAGCAAUAACUGCCAUUGCCAAACUAGUUAAAAGCAACGGCUGAAAGCGUGUAAGUUAGAC